RNAcentral lists this ribosomal RNA (274 nucleotides) under uncultured bacterium. RNAcentral's name for it is "partial 16S ribosomal RNA". It matches the Rfam family "Bacterial small subunit ribosomal RNA", at positions 523 to 796 of the family's 1533-position model. The record is from RNAcentral.
AUACGUAGGUCCCGAGCGUUGCGCGGAGUCACUGGGCGUAAAGCGUCCGCAGCCGGCUCCGUAAGCGGGAUGUCAAAGCCCACGGCUCAACCGUGGAACGGCAUCCUGAACUGCGGAGCUUGAGGCACGCUCAGGCAGGCGGAAUUCCCGGGGUAGCGGUGAAAUGCGUAGAUCUCGGGAGGAACACCGAAGGGGAAGCCAGCCUGCUGGAGCUGUCCUGACGGUCAGGGACGAAAGCCAGGGAAGCGAACCGGAUUAGAUACCCUAGUAGUCC